Molecule: ribosomal RNA, 465 nt
Filed under: uncultured bacterium
Lineage: Bacteria
Description: partial 16S ribosomal RNA
Rfam family: Bacterial small subunit ribosomal RNA
Source: RNAcentral
GACGAACGCUGGCGGCGUGCUUAACACAUGCAAGUCGAACGGAAAGGCCCUGCUUGCAGGGUACUCGAGUGGCGAACGGGUGAGUAACACGUGGGUGAUCUGCCCUGCACUUCGGGAUAAGCCUGGUAAACUGGGUCUAAUACCGGAUAGGAGCCAUUUUUAGUGUGAUGGUUGGAAAGUUUUUUCGGUGUAUGAUGAGCUCUCGGCCUAUCAGCUUGUUGGGGGGGUAAUGGCCUACCAAGGCGGCGAGGGGUAGCCGGCCUGAGAGGGUGGCCGGCCACCUUGGGACUGAGAGGCGGCCCAGACUCCGACGGGAGGCAGCAGUGGGGAAGAUUGCACGAUGGGCGCAAGCCUGAUGCAGCGACGCCGCGUGGGGGAUGACGGCCUUAGGGUUGAAAACUCAUUUCGCUGGGGACGAAGCUUUUUGUGACGGUACCUAGAUAAGAAGCACCGGCUAACUACGUG